GAUGAACGCUGGCGGCGUGCUUAACACAUGCAAGUCGAACGGUGAAGGCGGAGCUUGCUCUGCUGGAUCAGUGGCGAACGGGUGAGUAACACGUGAGCAAUCUGCCCCUGACUCUGGGAUAAGCGCUGGAAACGGCGUCUAAUACUGGAUACGAGCUGCGAAGGCAUCUUCAGCAGCUGGAAAGAAUUUCGGUCAGGGAUGAGCUCGCGGCCUAUCAGCUUGUUGGUGAGGUAAUGGCUCACCAAGGCGUCGACGGGUAGCCGGCCUGAGAGGGUGACCGGCCACACUGGGACUGAGACACGGCCCAGACUCCUACGGGAGGCAGCAGUGGGGAAUAGUGCACAAGGGGCGAAAGCCUGAUGCAGCAAAGCCGCGUGGGGGAAGACGGCCUUCGGGUUGUAAACCUCUUUUAGCAGGGAAGAAGCGAAAGUGACGGUACCUGCAGAAAAAGCGCCGGCUAACUACGUG
This 468-nucleotide ribosomal RNA is filed under the name uncultured bacterium. RNAcentral's name for it is "partial 16S ribosomal RNA". It matches the Rfam family "Bacterial small subunit ribosomal RNA", at positions 28 to 507 of the family's 1533-position model. The record is from RNAcentral.